AGGAAUCCCGAAAGAGAUUUGGGAGUGCUCGAAAAGAGAACCUGCACACAGGUGCUGCAUGGCUGUCGUCAGCUCGUGUCGUGGGAUGUUGGGUUAAGUCCCGCAACGAGCGCAACCCUUGUCAUUAGUUGCUACGAAAGAGCACUCUAAUGAGACUGCCGGUGACAAACCGGAGGAAGGUGGGGAUGACGUCAAGUCCUCAUGGCCCUUAUGGGUAGGGCUUCACACGUCAUACAAUGGUACAUACAGAGGGCCGCCAACCCGCGAGGGGGAGCUAAUCCCAGAAAGUGUAUCGUAGUCCGGAUUGUAGUCUGCAACUCGACUACAUGAAGUUGGAAUCGCUAGUAAUCGCGGAUCAGCAUGUCGCGGUGAAUACGUUCCCGGGUCUUGUACACACCGCCCGUCACACCAUGGGAGCGGGUUUUACCAGAAGUAGGUAGCUUAACCGCAAGGAGGGCGCUUACCACGGUAGGAUUCGUGACUGGGGUGAAGUCGUAACAAGGUAGCCGUAUCGGAAGGUGCGGCUGGAUCACCUCCUUAAUCGGAUCCC
This 550-nucleotide ribosomal RNA is filed under the name uncultured bacterium. Its description in RNAcentral is "bacterial SSU rRNA". It matches the Rfam family "Bacterial small subunit ribosomal RNA", at positions 991 to 1533 of the family's 1533-position model. The record is from RNAcentral.